UCUCCUUGCCAACCAGCAGCUCCCUUGGUAGGGGCAUGCAGAAGACCUGAUGACACAAACCCUCCAAAGAGUUUCACCCUCACCACAACAGGUGGCUUCCUGCUCGGCAGCCCAUCCUGCAUCACUUCAGUGGACUUCUCUGACAUCUACUAGACCACAUUAAAUGAAUCACAGCCUUGAAACUGAACUGGAAGGACUUCCUUCAAGGAGCCAGCAUAUGAACUUGCUGCCUAUCUUUAGCAAGGAGAUGCAAAUGACAUCCACAAACCUCUUCUGCUGUAUACCUGGAUGAAAGCAAGGCUAGCUGUGUGUCCUAUGGCACCAAGGACUGAAAGAUUGUAAGAAGUAAGAUGACCUACAUCCAAAGUGAAAAGUUAUUCAGCCUCUGAAGAGAAGCAUUUUGUUUGGGGAUCUUCAAGUAUGCUUGUCAGCACCGAGAACUGGAAAAAAAUCUCUGAUUGUCCUGCAGCAAUGGCAUUAAAGGCUCCUCAUAACAUACAGAACCAGAAUUGUGCCAUAAUUUACUGAAAUUGAACAUUGCUCUGUGACUGCUAAUUUUCCAUCGAGAUGAUUCUGUCUCUAACCAAGAAAAGAAAAGUUUGUCUUCCUGACUGCUGACACUGCUGACCAAGCCCACCACCAGAUGCCUGGCUGCACACCCAGAGGGCAGCCGCUUCCCGUGGUCCUCUCGAAGAACUUCCCUUUUGCAAUGCAUGUUUAGCAAGUGGAUGAGUUUGUCUUUUCUGAUUUCUCUGCAAGCUCUGCAUUGCCCACCUGAACCAGUGCUUCAGAAGAACUAAUGGGAUCUCUGACCCUCCAACAUCCUCUUCCAGACUUUCACUUUCCUGGCUCCUUGCAGGGACAUGUAAUAAACGUGCUCUCCAGAGAA
This 889-nucleotide long non-coding RNA is filed under the name Homo sapiens (human). RNAcentral describes it as "HSALNT0373507". Lineage: Eukaryota; Metazoa; Chordata; Mammalia; Primates; Hominidae. The record is from RNAcentral.